GGUUAAGCGACUAAGCGUACACGGUGGAUGCCCUGGCAGUCAGAGGCGAUGAAGGACGUGCUAAUCUGCGAUAAGCGUCGGUAAGGUGAUAUGAACCGUUAUAACCGGCGAUUUCCGAAUGGGGAAACCCAGUGUGUUUCGACACACUAUCAUUAACUGAAUCCAUAGGUUAAUGAGGCGAACCGGGGGAACUGAAACAUCUAAGUACCCCGAGGAAAAGAAAUCAACCGAGAUUCCCCCAGUAGCGGCGAGCGAACGGGGAGCAGCCCAGAGCCUGAAUCAGUGUGUGUGUUAGUGGAAGCGUCUGGAAAGGCGUGCGAUACAGGGUGACAGCCCCGUACACAAAAAUGCACAUAUUGUGAGCUCGAUGAGUAGGGCGGGACACGUGGUAUCCUGUCUGAAUAUGGGGGGACCAUCCUCCAAGGCUAAAUACUCCUGACUGACCGAUAGUGAACCAGUACCGUGAGGGAAAGGCGAAAAGAACCCCGGCGAGGGGAGUGAAAAAGAACCUGAAACCGUGUACGUACAAGCAGUGGGAGCACGCUUAGGCGUGUGACUGCGUACCUUUUGUAUAAUGGGUCAGCGACUUAUAUUCUGUAGCAAGGUUAACCGAAUAGGGGAGCCGAAGGGAAACCGAGUCUUAACUGGGCGUUAAGUUGCAGGGUAUAGACCCGAAACCCGGUGAUCUAGCCAUGGGCAGGUUGAAGGUUGGGUAACACUAACUGGAGGACCGAACCGACUAAUGUUGAAAAAUUAGCGGAUGACUUGUGGCUGGGGGUGAAAGGCCAAUCAAACCGGGAGAUAGCUGGUUCUCCCCGAAAGCUAUUUAGGUAGCGCCUCGUGAAUUCAUCUCCGGGGGUAGAGCACUGUUUCGGCAAGGGGGUCAUCCCGACUUACCAACCCGAUGCAAACUGCGAAUACCGGAGAAUGUUAUCACGGGAGACACACGGCGGGUGCUAACGUCCGUCGUGAAGAGGGAAACAACCCAGACCGCCAGCUAAGGUCCCAAAGUCAUGGUUAAGUGGGAAACGAUGUGGGAAGGCCCAGACAGCCAGGAUGUUGGCUUAGAAGCAGCCAUCAUUUAAAGAAAGCGUAAUAGCUCACUGGUCGAGUCGGCCUGCGCGGAAGAUGUAACGGGGCUAAACCAUGCACCGAAGCUGCGGCAGCGACGCUUAUGCGUUGUUGGGUAGGGGAGCGUUCUGUAAGCCUGUGAAGGUGUGCUGUGAGGCAUGCUGGAGGUAUCAGAAGUGCGAAUGCUGACAUAAGUAACGAUAAAGCGGGUGAAAAGCCCGCUCGCCGGAAGACCAAGGGUUCCUGUCCAACGUUAAUCGGGGCAGGGUGAGUCGACCCCUAAGGCGAGGCCGAAAGGCGUAGUCGAUGGGAAACAGGUUAAUAUUCCUGUACUUGGUGUUACUGCGAAGGGGGGACGGAGAAGGCUAUGUUGGCCGGGCGACGGUUGUCCCGGUUUAAGCGUGUAGGCUGGUUUUCCAGGCAAAUCCGGAAAAUCAAGGCUGAGGCGUGAUGACGAGGCACUACGGUGCUGAAGCAACAAAUGCCCUGCUUCCAGGAAAAGCCUCUAAGCAUCAGGUAACAUCAAAUCGUACCCCAAACCGACACAGGUGGUCAGGUAGAGAAUACCAAGGCGCUUGAGAGAACUCGGGUGAAGGAACUAGGCAAAAUGGUGCCGUAACUUCGGGAGAAGGCACGCUGAUAUGUAGGUGAAGUCCCUUGCGGAUGGAGCUGAAAUCAGUCGAAGAUACCAGCUGGCUGCAACUGUUUAUUAAAAACACAGCACUGUGCAAACACGAAAGUGGACGUAUACGGUGUGACGCCUGCCCGGUGCCGGAAGGUUAAUUGAUGGGGUCAGCGCAAGCGAAGCUCUUGAUCGAAGCCCCGGUAAACGGCGGCCGUAACUAUAACGGUCCUAAGGUAGCGAAAUUCCUUGUCGGGUAAGUUCCGACCUGCACGAAUGGCGUAAUGAUGGCCAGGCUGUCUCCACCCGAGACUCAGUGAAAUUGAACUCGCUGUGAAGAUGCAGUGUACCCGCGGCAAGACGGAAAGACCCCGUGAACCUUUACUAUAGCUUGACACUGAACAUUGAGCCUUGAUGUGUAGGAUAGGUGGGAGGCUUUGAAGUGUGGACGCCAGUCUGCAUGGAGCCGACCUUGAAAUACCACCCUUUAAUGUUUGAUGUUCUAACGUUGACCCGUAAUCCGGGUUGCGGACAGUGUCUGGUGGGUAGUUUGACUGGGGCGGUCUCCUCCUAAAGAGUAACGGAGGAGCACGAAGGUUGGCUAAUCCUGGUCGGACAUCAGGAGGUUAGUGCAAUGGCAUAAGCCAGCUUGACUGCGAGCGUGACGGCGCGAGCAGGUGCGAAAGCAGGUCAUAGUGAUCCGGUGGUUCUGAAUGGAAGGGCCAUCGCUCAACGGAUAAAAGGUACUCCGGGGAUAACAGGCUGAUACCGCCCAAGAGUUCAUAUCGACGGCGGUGUUUGGCACCUCGAUGUCGGCUCAUCACAUCCUGGGGCUGAAGUAGGUCCCAAGGGUAUGGCUGUUCGCCAUUUAAAGUGGUACGCGAGCUGGGUUUAGAACGUCGUGAGACAGUUCGGUCCCUAUCUGCCGUGGGCGCUGGAGAACUGAGGGGGGCUGCUCCUAGUACGAGAGGACCGGAGUGGACGCAUCACUGGUGUUCGGGUUGUCAUGCCAAUGGCACUGCCCGGUAGCUAAAUGCGGAAGAGAUAAGUGCUGAAAGCAUCUAAGCACGAAACUUGCCCCGAGAUGAGUUCUCCCUGACCCUUUAAGGGUCCUGAAGGAACGUUGAAGACGACGACGUUGAUAGGCCGGGUGUGUAAGCGCAGCGAUGCGUUGAGCUAACCGGUACUAAUGAACCGUGAGGCUUAACCUU
Molecule: ribosomal RNA, 2904 nt
Filed under: Escherichia coli
Lineage: Bacteria; Pseudomonadati; Pseudomonadota; Gammaproteobacteria; Enterobacterales; Enterobacteriaceae
Description: 23S ribosomal RNA
Rfam family: Bacterial large subunit ribosomal RNA
Source: RNAcentral